Molecule: ribosomal RNA, 477 nt
Filed under: uncultured Flavobacterium sp.
Lineage: Bacteria; Pseudomonadati; Bacteroidota; Flavobacteriia; Flavobacteriales; Flavobacteriaceae
Description: bacterial SSU rRNA
Rfam family: Bacterial small subunit ribosomal RNA
Source: RNAcentral
GAGUUUGAUCAUGGCUCAGGAUGAACGCUAGCGGCAGGCCUAACACAUGCAAGUCGAGGGGCAGCGGGGUGUAGCAAUACACUGCCGGCGACCGGCGCACGGGUGCGUAACGCGUAUACAAUUUGCCUUAUACAGGAGAUAGCCCGGAGAAAUUCGGAUUAAUAUCCCAUAAUAAUUUUGUUCCGCAUGGAAUGAUUUUUAAAGCUACGGCGGUAUAAGAUGAGUAUGCGUCCUAUUAGCUAGUUGGUGAGGUAACGGCUCACCAAGGCUACGAUAGGUAGGGGGCCUGAGAGGGUUAUCCCCCACACUGGUACUGAGACACGGACCAGACUCCUACGGGAGGCAGCAGUGAGGAAUAUUGGUCAAUGGAGGCAACUCUGAACCAGCCAUGCCGCGUGAAGGAUGAAUGCCCCUAUGGGUUGUAAACUUCUUUUAUUUGGGAAGAAACCUUUCUACGUGUAGAGAGCUGACGGUACC